CAAAACCCACUGAUGAACUUUUAACCACUAUUGGUGGUAGUUUAGCGGUAUCACUGCUUGGUGUAUUUGACGUAUUAGUGUUGGUCACUGGCUGAGAUCUCUUACUCUGCUGAUUAGGUGGCUCUUCUUCGUUGUCGCUAAGCAGAGCGAAACUGUUUUCGGAUAGAUCCGAACGACUGCGCGUAUCGGUUUUGUCUAUGUGUAGUUGUCUUGGUGGUGCUUUGGGCUUUCUGCCCCUUCUAUCUCUUCCUCCCAUUGCGAGAGAAGAGUAUUUGCGUACCUUCGUAUACUUUGUGAUUUUGUGUGUUUGUACGUAUUAGUUUUGUUAUUCGGAGCUAUCUGGAAGUACGUCUGUGCUUGACCAGAGCCGAUUUGCAACUGUGAUUUUAAUAAACAUAAAAUCAACCACGGAAGUAUGAUUUAGUUGUGGUGGAAGCGUGUAUUGUCAGCCGAAUGAAAUUUCUAACCUUCACGCACGACGCCGCCGCCAGGUAAGUAAGUGUUUAUGUGUAAUUACGAUCAUUGUUUCAUUUUAGGGUGUGAUUUGUGCAAUAUAACCGUUCCUGGCGGGGAUAGUCAAUAGUCGAUACCCUCUGCAGCUGUGAAGGGGCUCGCUACCACCCUUCCCACACUAGGACGCUUUUUCCGCGGAUGAAAGAUAUGUUCCUGGCUAUAUGCGCCAAAUCUAACGGUGAUCCGUAUUGUGAAGGAAUUGGCAUAGGCGGUGCCGGGGACUUGCUGAAAAUGGUACACAACGGCAUCGAGUACGGUGAUAUUCAACUCCCGCUGCGCAAAGCGAUCGAAAAAUUCUCAACCUCUCGCUCAAUGUAGCUAGAGAGCAAGAACCAAUAUUGA
Anopheles merus is the source of this 855-nucleotide long non-coding RNA. RefSeq lists it as uncharacterized. The transcript is spliced from 3 exons. Lineage: Eukaryota; Metazoa; Arthropoda; Insecta; Diptera; Culicidae. The record is from RefSeq and is a predicted model, not a curated record.